CGCGUAGGCGGUCUGGUCAGUCGGAUGUGAAAGCCCAGGGCUUAACCUUGGAAUUGCAUUCGAUACUGCCAAACUAGAAUGUUGGAGAGGGAAGUGGAAUUUCCGGUGUAGCGGUGAAAUGCGUAGAGAUCGGAAGGAACACCAGUGGCGAAGGCGGCUUCCUGACCAAACAUUGACGCUGAGGUGCGAAAGCGUGGGUAGCGAACA
Molecule: ribosomal RNA, 207 nt
Filed under: uncultured bacterium
Lineage: Bacteria
Description: partial 16S ribosomal RNA
Rfam family: Bacterial small subunit ribosomal RNA
Source: RNAcentral